RNAcentral lists this long non-coding RNA (739 nucleotides) under Homo sapiens (human). RNAcentral describes it as "HSALNT0215855". The record is from RNAcentral. Lineage: Eukaryota; Metazoa; Chordata; Mammalia; Primates; Hominidae.
GAGAGAAGGAGCCUGGCCUAGGACUGUGCCUCCGAGAGGGCCAAUGCGUAGACAGUGGCCGAGAGGGAGUGAUGUCCAAGGAGGCCCAAGGCACAAAGCAGAAACCAGAUUUCAAGGGAGAAGGGAGGAGAGGAAGAGGCUGACCCACAGGGGGCCCAUCAUCGUGGACCCAGAAUGACUCCCCUCCUGCUCCCUCCCUGGCUGGGCUGUCCAGCUCGAACAGGUCCUGUGUGGGUCUCCCCUUCCCGAAGGUGGGGCCGACAGGAUGUGAGAGGAAGUCCCAGAACAGCUCCUGAAAGGGACCGGUCCAGCUGGCAGGCACCAACUUGCCCUUCCUCUUUCCCCCUCCUCCUGCUGGAAGGAGGAAGUGGCAGCUGGAGUCAUCCUGGGAGCAUGAGGUCACUUCAGGGACAGAGAUCAUGCCCCUUCGAUGAACAAGGAGGCCUCCUGCUGCAGGCCCACCAGCCCUGCCUCCCGGCCUGUAGACUGCUCGUGAGGGGCGAUUUAAUGAGAGAAAACUCGAUGCAUCUUGGGUUCAUUUAACCGUGGAGCCAACAAGGACAGCAGACCUACUUCCCUGAUCCCCCACAUCAAGCAUAAAGGGACCACGCUGGGGACCAGCUGUAGCUCACCCCAUCAUGACCCUGAGGCUAUGACAGCAUAUAAGUUCCCAGGAAAAGGGGGACCUCAAAGAGAGACUAUUUGGAAUUAUAGAAAAUAAAGGCACCCGCAUGUUUUU